Molecule: long non-coding RNA, 3751 nt
Filed under: Sus scrofa (pig)
Lineage: Eukaryota; Metazoa; Chordata; Mammalia; Artiodactyla; Suidae
Description: lncRNA (ENSSSCG00045014780.1)
Source: RNAcentral
GAAGGAAAUUGAGUGUUGGCUACCUGCUCACGUGCCGGGGGCAGAGCCGAGAAGGGAGCCCUGGCCACCCCUCGGCCCCCGCAGCCUGGGAGCCAUGGCCCUUCUUGCUGGGGUGGGUUCUGCCACCACUUUCACACCGCAGACCCAGGCGGGUCUGGGACCUGCUCUGGGCUUGGGGUCCCCUGAAGGUCAGGCGAGGGUGGUGACCUUCUCAUCCUGGGCUGCAAUGACCCGGAGUCUCAGGAUGCUUUCAGGAAGCGUGGCUGUUAUUUAUCGUGCCAUUAUCGCCAACCCCCCCACACACUGCUGAGAAGCCUUGAAACUCUGUAUCAGGCCGUCUGAUAGACACGUCCUCCCAGCCCUUGGGCAGACUCUGCAUCUCUUGAGCCGCAAGUUUCCUGGUUGGCAAACCCGGGUACUGGCCUUAAAGGGGCCCCGCGGUUUGGCCCCAGGGCCUCCCAGGAGGCCGUUUCAGCUCUGCCCUAGCAGGAUGGUCCUGCCUUCCUGCAGGAUGGUUCCAGACCCUUCCCUGUACAAGGCUGGAGCACAAGAGACUGGCCCGCAGUCAGGUUUGGCCGUGCCGAGGGGAGGCGUCCGGAAAGUGUCGGUUAUGUUCUGCAGAUGGAUGUGUCACAAUCUGGAAUCAUCCUUUUAGCGCCCAAAGCAGAGCCUUCAUAUACGUUUUUGUGAUUUGCUGGAAGAUCCCUAAGCCCUUGGCCACCGCCAUCCCCCCUCAUCCCCAGAGGGGCUUGUCUUAUGGGUUGAGGAGAGCUCCCAGCCAGCCCUGCGCUUGGCGAAGCCCAGGGCCUGGCCGGCCUCCCCCCCAACGCCCAGCCAGGCUAUUCUGGAUGCAGCUGCUGGGCACUCCUCUCCCUUCCCCCCUCGGGUCCUGCUCUUGCUCUGAAAUGAUGGGCCUGCCUGCAUGUGGGGAGAAGAGGCACGAGAACUGGGCCAUCUGUGUCCCAGAAGGAAAAUUCCUACCAAGCCCCUUACUGAGCUGACUUGGCAAAGAAGAGCAAAGGUGGCAUUGAGGGUUUGCUGUGCGUGUGGCUCGGCCAGGCCGGGGCUGUGCCCACACUCACACAAGGGGCCCUUCUCGCCCUGUCCCCACAUUUCUUAUCACCUCUUUCUCAUGUGGGUACCCUGAGAAGAUUCUGAGACCAGGGGAGGGCCUUGUGGGCCCUCUGGUCGUCUUCUCCCAUCAUGCCGUUCUGUCUCGAGCGUCAUGUGUCCCCUUGGAGGGACUCGGUGCCGUGGUCCAGGGGUCUGGACGCUUCUGACUGCAUUCCAGCUCUGGGCCAGCACACCCUUCUCGCAACCCCUUGAUAGCUGGGACUAACUUUCAACAGGCCUAAUCCACCUGGAGAAAUUCCAUCUCGCUUUCAUCUGGAACAGCCUUGGACAAUGGAAUGUUCCCAGAAUCGAUGGCAAAUAAAAGGGGAACAAGUAUUCAGGACGAGGAGCCAGCGGAAGAAGAGACCCUCUUGUGCUGGGAACGGGCCUGCUCAGCAGCAGCCCGGGCGGGCGCGGGACAGUGCAGUGUGUUUGGGGUGAGUGGUUUAGCAGAUGUGGGUUGAUUACGCAGCAUUGACCAUUUGGCACGAGAAAGGAGAUGGCAUCCGAGGUGGUGUGAGGGUAACUGUCACCCAGCAGAGACCACAGGACUGGAGCGCGAUGCAUACGGGGGUGGCGGAUGGGCUCUGGGGAAAUACGGGUGCCCGCGUCUGCCGCAAGCUGGGAGACGGAGAUCGUGGGGUGUGCCACUCGGAGGGGGGCGCCCUGGGCCCUGGACUCAGUGUCCUCUCCUGCAUCGUGUGAGGAUCCAGCUGGUGAGAGCACCUAGAGCAGGCCUGCUGUGCAGACGUGCUCAGGACGCGUUGGCUCUGGGACCAGUGCUGUCACCACUGUCAUCAUUAUUCUCUCUUCGACUUAUCCUGGCUUCUGGCCUUGAAGUCCUUGUCAUUAGCUUGCUGGCAGCCCAGGGAGGGAAGCAGUGUGCCCGCCUGGAGGCCUAAGGGAGGCUGGGGGGCUGGAGCGGAGCGUGCGGGAGGGCCAGGGGCUUGUCAUUAAUGAGCUGUGCAGGGUUUUUUUACACGAAGUUUCCAAGAUCAGGGCAUGUCUCAGCCCGGAUUGGCCUCAGUUCCAGUGCUCGGUGCUCCUCACUGUGGCUGGUGGCUCCUGCAGUGGACAGUGCAGCUGCCCAAGGUCACAUGGCAUUAGGUGGCUGAGUGGUCAGCCUUGGGAGCUCAUGGCACAGGCAGGUGGGGGGCUCUGAGGUGUGGACGGAAGGGAUGGGACUCAGCUGUGGUUUAAGGGGCUUGGCUCUGCCACCCAGACCCAGUCCUUCCUGAGGCCCCGGGCAGCAGCUGGUCGGGAGGGGCUGACAAGAGGCCUGCCGUGCCAUGUCGAUGCCGUGGCGCUGCGCUCGCUCUGCCGGGGGACCAGGGAAGAGUGAGCCUGGGAGGCAGGGGCAGGGAAACAUGGGGAUGCUCGAAGGAUCGCUCUGUCACGGACUGGGGACAUCUCGCUGCCCCCCCGUGGAGCAGGUGGGGGUGGGGGGGCCAUUCCUCUGAGAUCUUGCCUUCUCUGGGUGUUUUCUCUCCUGAAGUUGCUGUGCCUGUGCAGCCCUGCUCUGUCCCCUAGGGGCCCAGGGUGGGGCCGGGGGGCGGGGCGCCAGUCGAUGGGGUGAAAUGAGGCGGCCAGGUGGGCCCUUCUCGGGGGUCCAGGUAGAGAUGCUGACACAGGCAGUGUGGUGCCACAAGCCCUGGGUCCCUUCUCUGUGCUGCUGUCUUCGUCUCUGAUGGCUGGGCUGUGCACAUGUCCCCACACGUCCCCUGAGCACACCGCAUGCUCCAGGCUCCGCACAGCUGGCUGGCUGUAGGCCCUGUCCAUUCAGGCAGGUGUGGGAGAGCCCAGGGCAGAUGUGGCUCCAGAGCAGUCCUGUCCCUGGGGCUUGGCAGCCUCCUGACCAUGGUUUUCCUGCACAACUGUGUUCGUGGUUCUAGUUUGUGCCCCCUGCCAGGAGGGACUUGUAGAAAGAUGGGGCCUACAGCUUCAGCCACCUGGGAAGUUCAGACCUGCCCCACCCUUCAUGGGAACCUUCUGGGCCCUCAGACUCCAGGCGGCAACAAUCCUAUGAGCUGGUUCAAAUCAGCAUGCACUGAUUGAGUGCCAGCUGUGUACGAAUGCCUGGACCAGGAGCUCCGAGGAGAGCUGAGGUAAAGGAUCCGUAUCUUUAAGGAGCUUGCAGGCUCUAGAGGGGUCGGAUGAGGGCAGCUGUGUCUGUGCAGCCAGCUGCAAGCUGGAGCGCUAGUCUUGUCCUCUGAGAAUUUGGAUUCAAGUUCUGGACUCACCCCUUCAGCCACAUCUCCCAGCUCCUGCUUGUGCCAGGGCCUCUCUGUGCUGCAGUAGACAGGACAGUCAGCUCCAGACUUCUGGAGGUCACAGCAGUCACACACUGUCACAUAGAAACCUGGGGCAUGUGACCAACGCUCGCAGCUCUGACCUCUGCCCUUGGUCUCCUUACCAUGGUAGUUCCCAUUGUGGCUCAGUGGGUUAAGAACCCAACUAGUAUCCAUGAGGAUGCAGGUUUGAUCCCUGGCCUCGCUCAGUGGGUUAAGGACCCGGCAUUGCCGUGAGCUGUGGUGUAGGUCACAGACACAGCUCGGAUCUGGUAUGGCUGUGAUGUAGGCUGGCAGCUGCAGCUCCGAUUUGACCCCUAGUCUGUGAACUUCCGUAUGCCAUGGGUACG